AUUGAACGCUGGCGGCAGGCCUAACACAUGCACGUCUUGCGGAUGAAGGAAGUUUGCUCCUGGAUUCAGCUGCGGACGGGCGCGUAAUGCCUAGGAAUCUGCCGGGUAGAGGGUGAUAACGUCCGGAAACGGGCGCUAAUACCGCAUACGUCCCGAUCGAGCAGGUCGUGGAUCUUCGUACCUCACGCUCUCAGAUGAGCCUAGGUCUGGUUAGCUAGUUGGUGGGGUAAAGGCCUGCCAUGGCGACUAUCCGUAGCUGGUCUGCGGGGUGGACCCGUCACAGUGGAACUGAGACGCGGUCCAGGCUCCUGCAGGAGGCAGCAGCGGGGAAUAUUGGACAAUGGGCGAAAGCCUGAUCCAGCCAUGCCGGGAGUGAGAGGAAGGUCUUCGGAAUGUAAAACUCUUUAAGUUGGGAGGAGGGGCAGUAAGCUAAUACCUUGCUGUAUUGACGUUACCAAAAGAAUAAGCACCGGCUAACUUCGUG
This 484-nucleotide ribosomal RNA is filed under the name uncultured bacterium. RNAcentral's name for it is "partial 16S ribosomal RNA". It matches the Rfam family "Bacterial small subunit ribosomal RNA", at positions 30 to 507 of the family's 1533-position model. The record is from RNAcentral.